CUCACAAUCCCUUUGAUAAGAUCUCAGAGUGCAGAAGUUCUGAUCCAAAGAUUAGAGCAAUCACUAGCUGGGACCACGGCCUUUCUUUUCAGCUAUACUCUAGAAACUCUUUCUCCUUUGGACUCUGAAGUAUACAGAAGUAAAUAAGAGUUGUGUCUGUCUCCGAGAACUUUCAAUAUGAUAGAAAGAACAGAUGUGUGCAUAACAAGGGUUGCAUGAUGACUGCUGCAUCUCCAGCCAUCACAUCCUAAUCAAAGCAAAAAGAGCUAGAAGAGAUGAUGCCAAUCAUGUAUCUCCUUUCAUUCAAAAACAAAAGCUUGCCAAUAAA
Long non-coding RNA from Odocoileus virginianus texanus, 328 nucleotides. RefSeq lists it as uncharacterized. Lineage: Eukaryota; Metazoa; Chordata; Mammalia; Artiodactyla; Cervidae. The record is from RefSeq and is a predicted model, not a curated record.